GGCGGCGUGCCUAACACAUGCAAGUCGAGCGCGAAAGGGUAGCAAUAUCCUAGUAGAGCGGCGAACGGGUGAGUAACACGUGGUUAACCUGCCGAGAUGUGGGGGAUACCCCGGGGAAACCCGGGCUAAUACCGCAUGAUGUCUUCCGGGCGUCGGCCUGGAAGAGCAAAGCCGGGGACCGUAAGGCCUGGCGCAUUUCGAGGGGACCGCGGCCGAUUAGCUAGUUGGCGGGGUAACGGCCCACCAAGGCAACGAUCGGUAGCCGGCCUGAGAGGGUGAUCGGCCACACCGGAACUGAGACACGGUCCGGACUCCUACGGGAGGCAGCAGUGGGGAAUUUUGCGCAAUGGACGAAAGUCUGACGCAGCAACGCCGCGUGGAGGAUGAAGGUUCUCUGAAUCGUAAACUCCUGUCGGCCGGGAAGAAUGGUCGGGGUGCUAAUCAACCCCGAUUUGACUGUACCGGCAAAGGAAGCCCCGGCUAACUCCGUGCCAGCAGCCGCGGUAAUACGGA
RNAcentral lists this ribosomal RNA (513 nucleotides) under uncultured bacterium. Its description in RNAcentral is "bacterial SSU rRNA". It matches the Rfam family "Bacterial small subunit ribosomal RNA", at positions 38 to 529 of the family's 1533-position model. The record is from RNAcentral.